RNAcentral lists this ribosomal RNA (564 nucleotides) under Streptosporangium sp. 343C10. Its description in RNAcentral is "bacterial SSU rRNA". It matches the Rfam family "Bacterial small subunit ribosomal RNA", at positions 93 to 671 of the family's 1533-position model. Lineage: Bacteria; Bacillati; Actinomycetota; Actinomycetes; Streptosporangiales; Streptosporangiaceae. The record is from RNAcentral.
GAGCGGCGAACGGGUGAGUAACACGUGAGUAACCUGCCCCUGACUGUGGGAUAAGCCCGGGAAACUGGGUCUAAUACCGGAUACGACACCUCCCGGCAUCGGGUGGGUGUGGAAAGUUUUUUCGGUUGGGGAUGGACUCGCGGCCUAUCAGCUUGUUGGUGGGGUAACGGCCUACCAAGGCGACGACGGGUAGCCGGCCUGAGAGGGCGACCGGCCACACUGGGACUGAGACACGGCCCAGACUCCUACGGGAGGCAGCAGUGGGGAAUAUUGCGCAAUGGGCGAAAGCCUGACGCAGCGACGCCGCGUGGGGGAUGACGGCCUUCGGGUUGUAAACCUCUUUCAGCAGGGACGAAGUUGACGUGUACCUGCAGAAGAAGCGCCGGCUAACUACGUGCCAGCAGCCGCGGUAAUACGUAGGGCGCAAGCGUUGUCCGGAAUUAUUGGGCGUAAAGAGCUCGUAGGUGGNUUGUCACGUCGGGUGNGAAAGCUUGGGGCUUAACUCCAGGUCUGCAUUNCGAUACGGGCUGGGCUAGAGGUAGGUAGGGGGAGAACGGAAUUCCU